AGCCCCUCGGCCAGGCCGGCUCCGAGCGCGAAGGAGCCGCGGAAGGGCGGGCGGCGGAAGAAGAGCUCGGCGGCGGCCGGGGCUCGGUGCCGCCCGGCCCGCCAGUGCCCGUAGGCCAUGGACACCUGGUACAGGGAGUGACUGGGGUCUCUAAACCUUGGGAAAGGUGACUGGAAACAUCCUGAGACCUUCAUUCCAGCCCUAAAAUUCAGGCUGAACCCUCCCAGCUCCCAGAGCUGCUCCUGGUGCUCCAGACCCUUCCCAAUCCAUUCCUUUCCACGGAAAACACUCCAGCCCCUCCAUGUCCUUCUUGUCAUGACGACCCAAGACUGAUCCCAGGAUUGGAGGUGCCCCAGAAGUGCCAGCACAAGCUGAGAUUUCCCUGUCAAUAACAAUUCCUCAAAAAAAAAAAUAGGGAAGAGCAUGGGAAGAACAUGGAUACCUGUCCCAAGCUGAAGCGAUCAAGAGAUCUUAAUUGGAACCCGUAAGACAAUGCAAGAAGGCACAACCGUGUCCCAAAUCCUCAAAAAUUAUGGAAAAAAUUGUCUUUAUGAGACUGUGAGAUUUUCCCUGAGGAGAGGAUGCUCCAAGCUUUGGGAAUAUGGACACCACGCCUCCAUUACAGCACACAAAAACCAUUCCCUCCUCCAACUUCCAGCUCCACGCAAGCAUGCCUGAAUUUUAUCGGGGAUAAGAAUUCAAAAUUCCAGAGGUGGGGAGUUGACUCUUUGUAUAAAGCCCUCAAAUCCUUUAUUUCUAAGCCAUAAUUUUUGUGCUGAACCCACCUUAAAGCUGCAGCCUGUAUCAGAUAUUUUGCUUUGGGAAGGCUGGAACUGUGCAUAAAUUUAAUUAUCCAAACAAAUCAAAUCCCUGGGAAUUAUGAAGGGUACAAAACAGGACUUCGGACGAACAGCUUGGGAUAUAAACAUCUGUUAUUCCCUGAAGUUUGAAUCCCUAAAAUAAGUUUUAAGUAUCAGAAAUAAUAAAAUUUUCCCUCAC
Molecule: long non-coding RNA, 999 nt
Organism: Taeniopygia guttata (zebra finch)
Lineage: Eukaryota; Metazoa; Chordata; Aves; Passeriformes; Estrildidae
Source: RefSeq, a predicted model, not a curated record